GUGUUACAUGAACUGAGAGAGGGUUGACACUACCCUUUACAAGGAUGGAAGAGACUCUCGGGCCUAACAACACAUAUAUGGUUAAGGCACUGCCUCCUACUUUGAGGCACUAACCAUUGUUUUUU
This is a small nuclear RNA of Mustela putorius furo (domestic ferret), 125 nucleotides long. NCBI's taxonomy places the organism in Eukaryota, Metazoa, Chordata, Mammalia, Carnivora, Mustelidae. The record is from Ensembl.